UACGUAGGUGGCAAGCGUUGCUCGGAAUUACUGGGCGUAAAGCGCACGUAGGCGGCUUUCUAAGUCGGGGGUGAAAUCCUGGAGCUCAACUCCAGAACUGCCUUCGAUACUGGAGAGCUUGAGUCCGGGAGAGGUGAGUGGAACUGCGAGUGUAGAGGUGAAAUUCGUAGAUAUUCGCAAGAACACCAGUGGCGAAGGCGGCUCACUGGCCCGGUACUGACGCUGAGGUGCGAAAGCGUGGGGAGCAAACAGG
RNAcentral lists this ribosomal RNA (253 nucleotides) under uncultured bacterium. RNAcentral's name for it is "partial 16S ribosomal RNA". It matches the Rfam family "Bacterial small subunit ribosomal RNA", at positions 524 to 776 of the family's 1533-position model. The record is from RNAcentral.